UACAGAGGGUGCAAGCGUUAAUCGGAAUUACUGGGCGUAAAGCGUGCGUAGACGGUUGCGUAAGUCAGAUGUGAAAGCCCCGGGCUCAACCUGGGAAUUGCAUUUGAGACUGCGUAGCUAGGGUGCGGAAGAGGGAAGCGGAAUUUCCGGUGUAGCGGUGAAAUGCGUAGAUAUCGGAAGGAACACCAGUGGCGAAGGCGGUCUGCUGGGCAGUUGCUGACACUGAGGCGCGACAGCGUGGGGAGCAAACAGG
RNAcentral lists this ribosomal RNA (253 nucleotides) under uncultured bacterium. RNAcentral describes it as "partial 16S ribosomal RNA". It matches the Rfam family "Bacterial small subunit ribosomal RNA", at positions 524 to 776 of the family's 1533-position model. The record is from RNAcentral.